AUUGUAAAUUCUAAUUUUCUGCCUUCUUUUCCCCAGCAGAAGACCCUGAACAGGCCAGGGCCAAAUUGGAAUCUUCCCCAACAGAUCGUACAGAGCUUGGGAUUAUCAAAGAAUUGUUAAGAAAAAUGGAUAAGGGCAACGAAAGAAACCUCAUUAUUAUUUGCUCUGUCAUGGGCAGUGGCCUCUUUUUAAUUAUUGUUUGUUUGAUAUGCCUGGUAGCCCAUAUUGCAGAACUAGAUGAGUGAGUAUUACUUUUAUCACUUUCAUUUGUUGCAGUUUCAACAGAUUUCAUCCGUUAACUUGGUACUGUUCUUUUCUUAUUUCCAGAGAACACACAAAAAUCAUUAAAGCUGAGGAAGGGCGAGUUCAGACAAAGAAAGCACCCCCCUCAUAGAGCUAAAUAUGAAUGACUAUGAAGAUUUUCAUUCAUCCAGGUCAUGGUUUAUCUAGUAUAAAUAAAUCUAA
This is a long non-coding RNA of Xenopus tropicalis (tropical clawed frog), 465 nucleotides long. RefSeq lists it as uncharacterized. NCBI's taxonomy places the organism in Eukaryota, Metazoa, Chordata, Amphibia, Anura, Pipidae. The record is from RefSeq and is a predicted model, not a curated record. The transcript has 3 exons.